AGAGUAUUAAACCGUUCAACGAAUUAAAACUUUCCUUUCAAGUAUAUGACAGAUGCACACGAAGUGUCCUAGAGACUAUGAUGCAAUUAUAUAAGGUGGUCUCGUAUUCCCAAAGGAAAUCACGGACUGGGAAACAAUUUUCCCCGAAACAUUCAAUUGUGCAUUGAGAGGGAAAAAAUAUGUUAAUACUUUAAAGACAUGUAAAAUUUAAAAAAUAGUCUGGCCAUAUGACAGAAAGGAGAACGGAGAAGAAGCAGCUGAUUUGGAUAUGGAUAUGUAAAACGCUGACAUGGAACUGGUUCUACGGACCCGGAUGAAAAAGGAGCCUUACAAUCGUGCCCGCACUUACUGUUGAUUCUCUUCCUUGCUGCAGAAACAGUUUUAUUGCGUUGGUAGUGCCAUUCUACUGCUCCGCCUUCACUUUCAUCAUCUGCAUGAAGGCGUGAUGCAUCUUGGCCCAACGCUGAAUGCAGUUGAGGUAAAAGAAGCAAUAGCAGCAAGGCUCUCUCUCUAGCUUAAUAACCCCUCAUCCACAAUUUUGAAGAUUCGAGAAAAUGGAGUAUCGUAGAUAAUGGCCAUAUCUAUCAGAUUGACGAAUCUUGUACAGAUCGGAACAUUAUUAUAGCCAGAAUUAAUAAUUUUCAGUGGCUUACCCUGCCCCUCUCAGAACAGCAGUCGCUACUUAUUCUCUUCCUCGCUCGCACACACUCUGCCCUGUGCAGUGGCGCAGGCGGAGGAAAUGUAGAAUUUACAUGUAGACAGAUGUAGCAAAAUAAUUAAAAAUAUAAAA
Drosophila obscura is the source of this 790-nucleotide long non-coding RNA. RefSeq lists it as uncharacterized. The record is from RefSeq and is a predicted model, not a curated record. Lineage: Eukaryota; Metazoa; Arthropoda; Insecta; Diptera; Drosophilidae. The transcript is spliced from 4 exons.